Molecule: long non-coding RNA, 1670 nt
Organism: Cyprinus carpio carpio
Lineage: Eukaryota; Metazoa; Chordata; Actinopteri; Cypriniformes; Cyprinidae
Source: Ensembl
AUGAGAAUUAUUCAAAACUAUUGCAAUAUAGAAAUUGCAAAAUUUCGACAUGAUCAUUGGACAAAAAAAAUGCUGACUGGGACUGUGGAGUUUGAAAAAAAAAAAAAAAGGUGGAGAAAAGACACAAGUUAACUGCAAAAGAAUUAAGAAUUAAGACUUUUCAGAAUAGAAGAUGGAAUAAAAAUGCGCUCCCCAAACUUACUGCCAGAUUCUGGAACAGGGGUCAGGAACCUUUUUUGACCAAAAAGCAAAAUUUUUAUUUUUUUGGUUAAGAGCCAUUUUUCCAAAAGGGCAUAUAUAUAUAUGUGCUUGGAAAAUAUCAUCUGAAUAUCAAGUGCCUAAUAAUGAUGCACGCCGUGCAAAGAAUUUUUAAUGAUUUUAUUGAUCUAUAAGCAUUUGUAAAAUAUUUUUGCCGGCAUUACAGCUUGGUCUUCAUCUGUGAGCUUAUCUGUUUUAUUGUUACAUCAUGAGUUGUGUAAAUUCAGAUAAAUUUCAUGUCACAGGAUGUCAUAGGUCAGUAUUUAAAUGAGUUUGAAAUUAUUAUUAUUAUUAUUAUUAUUAUUAUUAUAAAACCUAUGCAAUUAUAUAUAUAUAUAUAUAUAUAUAUAUAUAUAUAUAUAUAAUAUAUAUAUAAUAAUUUGCAUAGGUUUAUAGUAAUAAUAAUAAUAAUAAUAAUAAUAUAUAAUAAUAUAUAUAUAUAUCAAACUCAUUUAAAUACUGACCUAUGAUAUAUAUAUGAUAUAUAUAUAUAUAUAUAUAUAUAUAUAUAUAUAUUGAAACACACACACACACACAUAGCCUAUAUUAGGGGUGUAUUGAUUCAUCGAUAUGGAUCGAUGCAUCGAUAGCACCUAAAAAAACCCACCUAAAUAACCUUUGUAACAUCAAAAAAUUAAUCUAUAUUUAGUUUUAAACAGUGAUGUCUAUGCAGUUAUUUACGUUUGAUAUAUUCUAUAUUUAGUUUUAAACAGUGAUGUAUUGAUUCAUCGAUAUGGAUCGAUUCAUCGAUAGCACUCGUACAGUAUAGAUAUCUGUUAUAUAAAUAGGCAGCUUAUUUGGCACUGUCUACAUUUUCACAUAAUGUCCGUCAACGGCUGCAUUCUCGUUCAAACUCACCGAUUAGGACUCGGUAUAAGGCACAAGGUGAGCAUAUAAGACGCUCGGGAUUGUUCGCGGAACAGUCGAGCGCUGUGUGUUUCACCGCACACAUCUGAAGCGCGUGCAUGCACACAGACAGCCGCACGCGCGAAUACUAAACUGAGCUAUCUUCCGCUUUUUGUGCAUGGAUCAAUAAAUACAUAAUUACAUCUAAAUGCGCGUUUUGGGGAAUAUCCUAGUAAACACAGUCGGUUAGGCAUAUGUCUUAACGUUAACAGUUCAGAAAUAAAAAGGCAUGUGUAUAUUAAACCCCGUGAUUGGUUCUUAAAGUGCCAGCAUAAUAAUCCAUCUCAUGCUGUCAAAGAAAAAAAUACAAGUGUUCAUUGCUUCUGACUAAAUAACCUUUGUAACAUCAAAAAAACGAUUAACACAUACACUCAGCGCACACACAUUCUUCACAGGGCAAUGGCAGAGUCAUCAGAGUGACUCAGCCCCCCUCCUUUUCUCUCACACAGAGACUGGCCUCAGAGUGAGAUCAGAUGACUGACAGUUUUUUUAAUUUUCUGUUAUCC